RNAcentral lists this ribosomal RNA (406 nucleotides) under uncultured bacterium. RNAcentral's name for it is "partial 16S ribosomal RNA". It matches the Rfam family "Bacterial small subunit ribosomal RNA", at positions 30 to 526 of the family's 1533-position model. The record is from RNAcentral.
AUUGAACGCUGGCGGCAGGCCUAACACAUGCAAGUCGAACGCGUGGCGGACGGGUGUGUAAUGUCUGGGACACUGCCUGAUGGAGGGGGAUAACCACUGGACACUGUCGCUAAUCCCGCAUACUAUCAUAUGUGCCCAGAUGGGAUUAGCUUGUUGGUGGGGUAACGGCGCACCAAGGCGACGAUCCCUAGCUGGUCUGAGAGGAUGACCAGCCACACUGGAACUGAGACACGGUCCAGACUCCUACGGGAGGCAGCAGUGGGGAAUAUUGCACAAUGGGCGCAAGCCUGAUGCAGCCAUGCCGCGUGUAUGAAGAAGGCCUUCGGGUUGUAAAGUACUUUCAGCGGGGAGGCGUUACCCGCAGAAGAAGCACCGGCUAACUCCGUGCCAGCCGCCGCGGUAAUAC